CAAGGGACACGCGCCGGCAAGGGCCGCAGCAUCCUGCCCGGCUGUCUAUUCAUCUUUUCUCCUCCUCCACUCCUCACUCUUUUCCUCCCCCUGGAUCCCCUUUCUUGUCAAGCUCGCUGGGGACGCCCCCGCUUGCCGUUGCAACGCCAGCCAUUGGCCGCCAGCCGUCGGUCCGGAUCGACGCUCACGCUCACGCCUCCGGCUCCGACAUGCACGCCGAUUGGACGCCGCCGUGAACCACCUCGCUUCUCCGGUGCGCUCUUGCUCCUAGGUAGUUCCCUAGCUCGAUUGUUGCUCUUGCCGUCCCUUUAAUGGUGAUUCCUGGCUCCGGCGUGCAGGUACGUCUUGAACCAAGGUCGCCUUUCUCGGUUCCGUCGGCGCUGUUGCGACGCCGCCGCGGUCAUCCUCCUCCCCGAGCAGCUCUAGGGGCCGUGACGGGCUCCGCGUCGUCCGCGUCUCCUCUGGACCACGGACUCGAAGCCGUGGGCCCCUCCUACUUCUUCCUCGACCGCUGACCGCCAUUGACGCCGUCCGAAACUUGCUGCCACGAACAGCAAGGUGAGGCCGUGAGGAGUCAUCUCUGCCUGUUGCUGCUGCUCGCUGUUGGCUUGCUUUGCUGCUUGUUGUUGUUGCCGCUGCUGACUGCUUGAUGCUGCUGGUUGUUUUGCUUACCGAUGCUGCUUGCUUUUGUUGCUUGCUGCUGCUGGCCUUGAGCUGCGGGUAAAUGAGAGAAAGAAAGGAAGUUUUACAUUUGUAUAGGGAGAUGGUCGUAUUUAGAUUCAUUUAGAAAUGGCCAUGUUUCAGUACCGUUUAAUUUACUUGUUCGUCGUAAAGUCAGACUAAGCCUAGUCUUUCCUGUGCAUAAAAGUUUCAGAAAAAUGCUCAACCUGCUGAACUUGGAAAAUCCAUAAAAAAUCAUUCCAGUUUCUGUUUGGAGCAGUACUGAUAUGGAGUUGGCUGGUUUAAAUUGUACUGUAGCAAUGGAAAAUAUGAACAUGGUCAAUAUUAUUGCUUGGAAGUAAAAGAUCAUGUACUCCUUUAACAACACGUCUUUAGAUCUGGUAAAAAUUCACAACUUGCAUUAGAAAAUGUUGUUGUCAAUUUCAGUAUCUUCAUUUUCAUCUUACUGUAUGACAUCAUAUUCUUAGCUUUGUUUGACAUGGCUAGGAGUUGCUUGUUGUUCAUGAUCAGCGGGUCAUGGCAUUAACUUGGAUUAAUUAACAUGGAAACAAAUAAGUGAAUUGUGAGGGUCGUGGU
This 1257-nucleotide long non-coding RNA is filed under the name Triticum aestivum (bread wheat). RNAcentral's name for it is "long non-coding RNA (TAES_LNC023510)". Lineage: Eukaryota; Viridiplantae; Streptophyta; Magnoliopsida; Poales; Poaceae. The record is from RNAcentral.